This 544-nucleotide long non-coding RNA is filed under the name Cricetulus griseus (Chinese hamster). RNAcentral's name for it is "lncRNA (ENSCGRG00015041141.1)". Lineage: Eukaryota; Metazoa; Chordata; Mammalia; Rodentia; Cricetidae. The record is from RNAcentral.
GAACAUUCUCCUUUGCCUGAGGAAGAUGCUGAUCACCUGCGGCCUCACCUCACUGUGCUAGAAGACUGGAAAGGUGGAAUGACUGGUUCCUCAUUAUAGACACAGGCAUUGUGAUAGACUGAAAAUCUCUAUCCAUAGGACAACCAAACUAAGGAUGCUGGGAUGAAAAAGGGCAGAGUCAGAGGAGCCAUCAGCAGAUGUAGAGCAAGCAGGACAUGCCAAAAAUGAGGAUGGACUCGAUCAAAGGUUGCAAGAGUCGUCCUGAGAUUUGAUUCAAUUUGCAAUCGACUGAGCAGGAAGUGCUCUGGGGAGUGUGCUCGGCUGAGAUGAUAUCCUCACCAGGGGCCAUACCUGUAGCAGCCGGAACAUUUCUUCUAAGAUGUUCCUUUAUUCCUGUCACGCCUCCCCUCACACUCAGAAAUCCACAGAAAGACACAAAGAGAAUUCCUUCUUGCGUCUCAUUCCCAAGAGGAAGGCUUUGCAUCGUUAAAAUAACCAUCCUAAAACCAAGAAAGUUAGAAUGUAAAGGAAGAAAAUGUAAAAG